CUUAUACUCCCUCCGUCCGGAAAUACUUGUCGGAGAAAUGGAUGUAGCUAGACGGAUUUUAGUUCUAGAUACAUCCAUUUUUAUCCAUUUCUCCGACAAGUAUUUUCGGACGGAGGGAGUAUUUA
This is a non-coding RNA of Triticum aestivum (bread wheat), 125 nucleotides long. The record is from Rfam. Lineage: Eukaryota; Viridiplantae; Streptophyta; Magnoliopsida; Poales; Poaceae.